CAGUAGCGUAUAUUAAAGUUGCUGCAGUUAAAAAGCUCGUAGUUGGAUUUCUGGCUUGACGCGCCUGGCCCGCUACCGUUAGGUAUGUGAGUGCCGGUGCGCGUCUGCCAUCUUGAUAGAAGGUCUGUUUACUCUUGAUUGAGUCAAGCGGUAUCCUCUAUCUCUUUUACUUUGAAAAAUUAGAGUGUUUAAAGCAGGCGUUUUGCUAUGAAUACAUUAGCAUGGAAUAAUAAUAUAGGAUUUCUUACCUAUUUUGUUGGUUUCUAGGUAAUAAAUAAUGAUUGAUAGGGAUAGUUGGGGGUGCUUGUAUUUAGCGGCCAGAGGUGAAAUUCUUGGAUUCGCUAAAGACAAACUUAUGCGAAAGCAUUCACCAAGGAUGUCUUUUUAAUCAAGAACGAAAGUUGGGGGAUCGAAGACGAUUAGAUACCGU
This 430-nucleotide ribosomal RNA is filed under the name uncultured eukaryote. RNAcentral's name for it is "bacterial SSU rRNA". It matches the Rfam family "Eukaryotic small subunit ribosomal RNA", at positions 592 to 1018 of the family's 1831-position model. The record is from RNAcentral.